UCUAAAUGUAAAUUCAAUGAGCUGAAGCUACUUCAAUAGGACCUGGCAGCAGAAAAGGAAUGAUGCAAUGGUGUCAGAUAAUCGUGAAAUUGAGAAGUCGCCCAUCCAUUUGGGUGGGAAAAUAACCAACAUCCUCAGUUGUAAUCCCACUAAGAACCGCCAGGGCGAGACGAAAGCGACAUCGCUUCCAUCUUUACGUGAGUCUUGGAAAUGGUUCAGCACCAUGACGUCCGCCGAAGACGUAGGUGUAGACGAGGAACAAAAGAGAAGACCCCUCGUGGAGGUGGCCUGUGGGGCCCGCCCUCCUCGGGCGCCUGUCGUCGUCUGUCCCUGACUCCGCUCCCCCCGGCGGCCGCAGCGAGUGCGCCCCGCGAUGCAGCGGGCUGUGGAGGGAGCCUCCAUGGAGUCUCCAUCAACCAUUGAGGACCAGGAGACGGUGGCAGGCGGUAGAGAGGCCUGGGCAGGGCCAGCGCCCCGGGCUGCGGAGCACAGGACGGCGGCGCCCAAGGACGCCCCAGGGCAGGCCUCAGCCCCUCCAACCGGUGGGAGCCCAGCUCCAGGGGAGCCCGCAGCUCCCUCCAUCUUGGUUGAUGGAGGCGGGGAGCUGCGUCUGGGUCUCUCCACCGUCGUGCCCGUCCCCUGUGGCCCCGCGGACGCAGACGCCAGCAGCCGGGGUUGUUCCCUUGGCCGAAUGGCAGAGUCCAGUUGGGGCUUCCCGAGGACAAGUUUCCCGGCCCCACGGGGUUUGGUUUUUAGGGGGUCCCAAGUUCCCACAGUCGUUCCGACAAAAUGGAGGACGUCGUCUCCUCCU
RNAcentral lists this long non-coding RNA (811 nucleotides) under Homo sapiens (human). Its description in RNAcentral is "non-protein coding lnc-ZMYM2-1:1". The record is from RNAcentral. Lineage: Eukaryota; Metazoa; Chordata; Mammalia; Primates; Hominidae.